GUUUUUUCGCGCUCAAUUGUCGUUAGGUAGGCCAUAUGGCAUGGCUCAAACGUGGCUUAUAUGCUUUUAGGCGUUGUAAGCUAACGGAUGCGAUCAUACCAACUCACAUGCACCGGAUCCCAUCAGAACUCCGAAGUUAAGCGAGUUUGGGCGAGAGUAGUACUAGGAUGGGUGACCUCCUGGGAAGUCCUCGUGUUGCAUCCCCUCCUUUUGUCUUUUUGACGUUUCAAUUGUCGUGGGCGUUUGCUUUCCGUCGUCUUAUUCAUCUGGCUGUCUCUGUUUUUCCACGACCCCGUGACGCAGCGUGGCAAUCGGGGGUAAAGUACGCUUAAACACUCGUCGAAAGCCCGCAAAGGAAUCAAAAUACGAAAAUGACAAAGUUUUCCAAAACUGAAUUUCGCCCCAGCAAACGGCGUCGGAUGCCCGAAAAAGCCCGUCGGUCAUGGCAGCGCAAUGAGUGGGCCUAAUUCUGAGGUCGGAGCCCAGAUAUGCGGUUUACCCGAUACGCGCGUCGCUCCAGCUCCUCUUCAACUGCUUCCGACGUCACCCCGAGGAGCCCGUCUCCAAUUAACUAGGUGCCGGAAAAGAGCGGGACCGACGCACUGCCGGAAUUAUCGGGGGGUUUUUUCGCGCUCAAUUGUCGUUAGGUAGGCCAUAUGGCAUGCCUCAAACGUGGCUUAUAUGCUUUUAGGCGUUGUAAGCUAACGGAUGCGAUCAUACCAACUCACAUGCACCGGAUCCCAUCAGAACUCCGAAGUUAAGCGAGUUUGGGCGAGAGUAGUACUAGGAUGGGUGACCUCCUGGGAAGUCCUCGUGUUGCAUCCCCUCUUUUUGUCUUUUUGACGUUUCAAUUGUCGUGGGCGUUUGCUUUCCGUCGUCUUAUUCAUCUGGCUGUCUCUGUUUUUCCACGACCCCGUGACGCAGCGUGGCAAUCGGGGGUAAAGUACGCUUAAACACUCGUCGAAACCCCGCAAAGGAAUCAAAAUACGAAAAUGACAAAGUUUCCCAAAACUGAAUUUCGCCCCAGCAAACGGCGUCGGAUGCCCGAAAAAGCCCGUCGGUCAUGGCAGCGCAAUGAGUUUUACUCGUGACGCCGUUCUCUUCAAAUCGACUGCUCGCGGGCCUAAUUCUGAGGUCGGAGCCCAGAUAUGCGGUUUACCCGAUACGCGCGUCGCUCCAGCUCCUCUUCAACUGCUUCCGACGUCACCCCGAGGAGCCCGUCUCCAAUUAACUAGGUGCCGGAAAAGAGCGGGACCGACGCACUGCCGGAAUUAUCGGGGGGUUUUUUCGCGCUCAAUUGUCGUUAGGUAGGCCAUAUGGCAUGGCUCAAACGUGGCUUAUAUGCUUUUAGGCGUUGUAAGCUAACGGAUGCGAUCAUACCAACUCACAUGCACCGGAUCCCAUCAGAACUCCGAAGUUAAGCGAGUUUGGGCGAGAGUAGUACUAGGAUGGGUGACCUCCUGGGAAGUCCUCGUGUUGCAUCCCCUCUUUUUGUCUUUUUGACGUUUCAAUUGUCGUGGGCGUUUGCUUUCCGUCGUCUUAUUCAUCUGGCUGUCUCUGUUUUUCCACGACCCCGUGACGCAGCGUGGCAAUCGGGGGUAAAGUACGCUUAAACACUCGUCGAAACCCCGCAAAGGAAUCAAAAUACGAAAAUGACAAAGUUUCCCAAAACUGAAUUUCGCCCCAGCAAACGGCGUCGGAUGCCCGAAAAAGCCCGUCGGUCAUGGCAGCGCGAUGAGUUUUACUCGUGACGCCGUUCUCUUCAAAUCGACUGCUCGUGGGCCUAAUUCUGAGGUCGGAGCCCAGAUAUGCGGUUUACCCGAUACGCGCGUCGCUCCAGCUCCUCUUCAACUGCUUCCGACGUCACCCCGAGGAGCCCGUCUCCAAUUAACUAGGUGCCGGAAAAGAGCGGGACCGACGCACUGCCGGAAUUAUCGGGGGGUUUUUUCGCGCUCAAUUGUCGUUAGGUAGGCCAUAUGGCAUGGCUCAAACGUGGCUUAUAUGCUUUUAGGCGUUGUAAGCUAACGGAUGCGAUCAUACCAACUCACAUGCACCGGAUCCCAUCAGAACUCCGAAGUUAAGCGAGUUUGGGCGAGAGUAGUACUUGGAUGGGUGACCUCCUGGGAAGUCCUCGUGUUGCAUCCCCUCUUUUUGUCUUUUUGACGUUUCAAUUGUCGUGGGCGUUUGCUUUCCGUCGUCUUAUUCAUCUGGCUGUCUCUGUUUUUCCACGACCCCGUGACGCAGCGUGGCAAUCGGGGGUAAAGUACGCUUAAACACUCGUCGAAAGCCCGCAAAGGAAUCAAAAUACGAAAAUGACAAAGUUUCCCAAAACUGAAUUUCGCCCCAGCAAACGGCGUCGGAUGCCCGAAAAAGCCCGUCGGUCAUGGCAGCGCAAUGAGUUUUGCUCGUGACGCCGUUCUCUUCAAAUCGACUGCUCGCGGGCCUAAUUCUGAGGUCGGAGCCCAGAUAUGCGGUUUACCCGAUACGCGCGUCGCUCCAGCUCCUCUUCAACUGCUUCCGACGUCACCCCGAGGAGCCCGUCUCCAAUUAACUAGGUGCCGGAAAAGAGCGGGACCGACGCACUGCCGGAAUUAUCGGGGGGUUUUUUCGCGCUCAAUUGUCGUUAGGUAGGCCAUAUGGCAUGGCUCAAAGGUGACCUCCUGGGAAGUCCUCGUGUUGCAUCCCCUCUUUUUGUCUUUUUGACGUUUCAAUUGUCGUGGGCGUUUGCUUUCCGUCGUCUUAUUCAUCUGGCUGUCUCUGUUUUUCCACGACCCCGUGACGCAGCGUGGCAAUCGGGGGUAAAGUACGCUUAAACACUCGUCGAAACCCCGCAAAGGAAUCAAAAUACGAAAAUGACAAAGUUUCCCAAAACUGAAUUUCGCCCCAGCAAACGGCGUCGGAUGCCCGAAAAAGCCCGUCGGUCAUGGCAGCGCAAUGAGUUUUACUCGUGACGCCGUUCUCUUCAAAUCGACUGCUCGUGGGCCUAAUUCUGAGGUCGGAGCCCAGAUAUGCGGUUUACCCGAUACGCGCGUCGCUCCAGCUCCUCUUCAACUGCUUCCGACGUCACCCCGAGGAGCCCGUCUCCAAUUAACUAGGUGCCGGAAAAGAGCGGGACCGACGCACUGCCGGAAUUAUCGGGGGGUUUUUUCGCGCUCAAUUGUCGUUAGGUAGGCCAUAUGGCAUGGCUCAAACGUGGCUUAUAUGCUUUUAGGCGUUGUAAGCUAACGGAUGCGAUCAUACCAACUCACAUGCACCGGAUCCCAUCAGAACUCCGAAGUUAAGCGAGUUUGGGCGAGAGUAGUACUAGGAUGGGUGACCUCCUGGGAAGUCCUCGUGUUGCAUCCCCUCUUUUUGUCUUUUUGACGUUUCAAUUGUCGUGGGCGUUUGCUUUCCGUCGUCUUAUUCAUCUGGCUGUCUCUGUUUUUCCACGACCCCGUGACGCAGCGUGGCAAUCGGGGGUAAAGUACGCUUAAACACUCGUCGAAACCCCGCAAAGGAAUCAAAAUACGAAAAUGACAAAGUUUCCCAAAACUGAAUUUCGCCCCAGCAAACGGCGUCGGAUGCCCGAAAAAGCCCGUCGGUCAUGGCAGCGCAAUGAGUGGGCCUAAUUCUGAGGUCGGAGCCCAGAUAUGCGGUUUACCCGAUACGCGCGUCGCUCCAGCUCCUCUUCAACUGCUUCCGACGUCACCCCGAGGAGCCCGUCUCCAAUUAACUAGGUGCCGGAAAAGAGCGGGACCGACGCACUGCCGGAAUUAUCGGGGGGUUUUUUCGCGCUCAAUUGUCGUUAGGUAGGCCAUAUGGCAUGGCUCAAACGUGGCUUAUAUGCUUUUAGGCGUUGUAAGCUAACGGAUGCGAUCAUACCAACUCACAUGCACCGGAUCCCAUCAGAACUCCGAAGUUAAGCGAGUUUGGGCGAGAGUAGUACUAGGAUGGGUGACCUCCUGGGAAGUCCUCGUGUUGCAUCCCCUCUUUUUGUCUUUUUGACGUUUCAAUUGUCGUGGGCGUUUGCUUUCCGUCGUCUUAUUCAUCUGGCUGUCUCUGUUUUUCCACGACCCCGUGACGCAGCGUGGCAAUCGGGGGUAAAGUACGCUUAAACACUCGUCGAAACCCCGCAAAGGAAUCAAAAUACGAAAAUGACAAAGUUUUCCAAAACUGAAUUUCGCCCCAGCAAACGGCGUCGGAUGCCCGAAAAAGCCCGUCGGUCAUGGCAGCGCAAUGAGUUUUACUCGUGACGCCGUUCUCUUCAAAUCGACUGCUCGCGGGCCUAAUUCUGAGGUCGGAGCCCAGAUAUGCGGUUUACCCGAUACGCGCGUCGCUCCAGCUCCUCUUCAACUGCUUCCGACGUCACCCCGAGGAGCCCGUCUCCAAUUAACUAGGUGCCGGAAAAGAGCGGGACCGACGCACUGCCGGAAUUAUCGGGGGGUUUUUUCGCGCUCAAUUGUCGUUAGGUAGGCCAUAUGGCAUGGCUCAAACGUGGCUUAUAUGCUUUUAGGCGUUGUAAGCUAACGGAUGCGAUCAUACCAACUCACAUGCACCGGAUCCCAUCAGAACUCCGAAGUUGAGCGAGUUUGGGCGAGAGUAGUACUAGGAUGGGUGACCUCCUGGGAAGUCCUCGUGUUGCAUCCCCUCUUUUUGUCUUUUUGACGUUUCAAUUGUCGUGGGCGUUUGCUUUCUGUCGUCUUAUUCAUCUGGCUGUCUCUGUUUUUCCACGACCCCGUGACGCAGCGUGGCAAUCGGGGGUAAAGUACGCUUAAACACUCGUCGAAACCCCGCAAAGGAAUCAAAAUACGAAAAUGACAAAGUUUCCCAAAACUGAAUUUCGCCCCAGCAAACGGCGUCGGAUGCCCGAAAAAGCCCGUCGGUCAUGGCAGCGCAAUGAGUUUUACUCGUGACGCCGUUCUCUUCAAAUCGACUGCUCGUGGGCCUAAUUCUGAGGUCGGAGCCCAGAUAUGCGGUUUACCCGAUACGCGCGUCGCUCCAGCUCCUCUUCAACUGCUUCCGACGUCACCCCGAGGAGCCCGUCUCCAAUUAACUAGGUGCCGGAAAAGAGCGGGACCGACGCACUGCCGGAAUUAUCGGGGGGUUUUUUCGCGCUCAAUUGUCGUUAGGUAGGCCAUAUGGCAUGGCUCAAAACGUGGCUUAUAUGCUUUUAGGCGUUGUAAGCUAACGGAUGCGAUCAUACCAAAUCACAUGCACCGGAUCCCAUCAGAACUCCGAAGUUAAGCGAGUUUGGGCGAGAGUAGUACUAGGAUGGGUGACCUCCUGGGAAGUCCUCGUGUUGCAUCCCCUCUUUUUGCCUUUUUGACGUUUCAAUUGUCGUGGGCGUUUGCUUUCCGUCGUCUUAUUCAUCUGGCUGUCUCUGUUUUUCCACGACCCCGUGACGCAGCGUGGCAAUCGGGGGUAAAGUACGCUUAAACACUCGUCGAAACCCCGCAAAGGAAUCAAAAUACGAAAAUGACAAAGUUUCCCAAAACUGAAUUUCGCCCCAGCAAACGGCGUCGGAUGCCCGAAAAAGCCCGUCGGUCAUGGCAGCGCAAUGAGUUUUACUCGUGACGC
Molecule: long non-coding RNA, 5556 nt
Filed under: Prunus persica (peach)
Lineage: Eukaryota; Viridiplantae; Streptophyta; Magnoliopsida; Rosales; Rosaceae
Source: RNAcentral